GCCGGGCGUUGUGGCGGGCGCCUGUAGUCCCAGCUACCUGGGAGGCUGAGGCGGGAGACUCGCUUGAGCCCAGGACUUGGAGGUUGCUGUGAGUGUGUGAUGCCAUGGCACUCUACCCAGGAGGAUAGCUUGAGGCCCAGGAGUUGGAGGUUGCUGGAGCGACUCCGCUGCACUCUACCAAGGGCAAAAAAGUGAGACUCUGUCUCUA
This 208-nucleotide signal recognition particle RNA is filed under the name Otolemur garnettii (small-eared galago). Its description in RNAcentral is "Metazoan signal recognition particle RNA". It matches the Rfam family "Metazoan signal recognition particle RNA". Rfam says of the family: The signal recognition particle (SRP) is a universally conserved ribonucleoprotein. It is involved in the co-translational targeting of proteins to membranes. Lineage: Eukaryota; Metazoa; Chordata; Mammalia; Primates; Galagidae. The record is from Rfam by way of RNAcentral.